UCAGGACGAACGCUGGCGGCGUGCUUAACACAUGCAAGUCGAACGCUGAAGCACCAGCUUGCUGGUGUGGAUGAGUGGCGAACGGGUGAGUAAUACGUGAGUAACCUGCCCUUGACUCUGGGAUAAGCCCGGGAAACUGGGUCUAAUACUGGAUGCUACAUGUCACCGCAUGGUGGUGUGUGGAAAGGGUUUACUGGUCUUGGAUGGGCUCACGGCCUAUCAGCUUGUUGGUGAGGUAAUGGCUCACCAAGGCGACGACGGGUAGCCGGCCUGAGAGGGUGACCGGCCACACUGGGACUGAGACACGGCCCAGACUCCUACGGGAGGCAGCAGUGGGGAAUAUUGCACAAUGGGCGAAAGCCUGAUGCAGCGACGCCGCGUGAGGGAUGACGGCCUUCGGGUUGUAAACCU
RNAcentral lists this ribosomal RNA (411 nucleotides) under Kocuria sp. DB2-ER3. RNAcentral's name for it is "bacterial SSU rRNA". It matches the Rfam family "Bacterial small subunit ribosomal RNA", at positions 24 to 432 of the family's 1533-position model. Lineage: Bacteria; Bacillati; Actinomycetota; Actinomycetes; Micrococcales; Micrococcaceae. The record is from RNAcentral.